Long non-coding RNA from Micropterus salmoides (largemouth bass), 1538 nucleotides. RefSeq lists it as uncharacterized. The transcript has 3 exons. The record is from RefSeq and is a predicted model, not a curated record. Lineage: Eukaryota; Metazoa; Chordata; Actinopteri; Centrarchiformes; Centrarchidae.
CAGGUAAAUAAAGGUGAACACCAGAAGUGGGACAGGUAAAUAAAGGUGAACACCACAGGUGAGACAGAUAAAGGUUGUAUUCUGAGGAAACAGAAGAACCGAAUUUUAAUCGGCUGACACGCCGCAGGAAGUGAUGAUCUCAAUCUUCAUUAUGUUUUUUAUAAAUACUCAAACAUGAUGACACACAGCAUAACAGAGAAAAAAACAUCUGGAGGCUCCACCCACCGUGUUUCCCUCAGCACACCACAGGUGAGACAGGUAAAUAAAGGUGCACACCACAGGUGAGACAGGUAAAUAAAGGUGCACACCACAGGUGAGACAGAUAAAGGUGAACACCAAAGUUGAGCCAGGUAAAUAAAUGUGAACACCACAGGUGAGACAGAUAAAGGUGAACACCAAAGUUGAGCCAGGUAAAUAAAGGUGCACACCACAGGUGAGCCAGGUAAAUAAAGGUGCACACCACAGGUGAGCCAGGUAAAUAAAGGUGCACACCACAGGUGAGACAGAUAAAGGUGAACACCAAAGUUGAGCCAGGUAAAUAAAUGUGAACACCAGAAGUGGGACAGGUAAAUAAAGGUGAACACCAGAAGUGGGACAGGUAAAUAAAGGUGAACACCAGAAGUGAGACAGGUAAAUAAAGGUGAACACCACAGGUGAGACAGGUAAAUAAAGGUGAACACCAGAAGUGGGACAGGUAAAUAAAGGUGAACACCAAAGUUGAGCCAGGUAAAUAAAUGUGAACACCACAGGUGAGACAGGUAAAUAAAGUUGAACACCACAGGUGAGACAGGUAAAUAAAGGUGAACACCAGAAGUGAGACAGGUAAAUAAAGGUGAACACCACAGGUGAGACAGGUAAAUAAAGGUGAACACCACAGGUGAGAACGAUAAAGGUGAACACCAAAGUUGAGCCAGGUAAAUAAAUGUGAACACCACAGGUGAGACAGGUAAAUAAAGUUGAACACCACAGGUGAGACAGGUAAAUAAAGGUGAACACCAGAAGUGAGACAGGUAAAUAAAGGUGAACACCACAGGUGAGACAGGUAAAUAAAGGUGAACACCAGAAGUGGGACAGGUAAAUAAAGGUGAACACCAGAAGUGGGACAGGUAAAUAAAGGUGAACACCAGAAGUGAGACAGGUAAAGGUGAACACCACAGGUGAGACAGAUAAAUAAAGUUGAACACCACAGGUGAGACAGGUAAAUAAAGGUGAACACCAGAAGUGGGACAGGUAAAUAAAGGUGAACACCAAAGUUGAGCCAGGUAAAUAAAUGUGAACACCACAGGUGAGACAGGUAAAUAAAGGUGCACACCACAGGUGAGACAGAUAAAGGUGAACACCAAAGUUGAGCCAGGUAAAUAAAUGUGAACACCAGAAGUGGGACAGGUAAAUAAAGGUGAACACCAGAGGUGAGACAGGUAAAUAAAGGUGCACACCAGAAGUGAGACAGGCAAAUAAAGGUGAACACCACAGGUGAGACAGGUAAAUAAAGGUGAACACCACAGGUGAGACAGGUAAAUAAAGGUGAACACCACAGG